RNAcentral lists this long non-coding RNA (5326 nucleotides) under Gossypium barbadense (sea-island cotton). Its description in RNAcentral is "long non-coding RNA (GBAR_LNC010134)". Lineage: Eukaryota; Viridiplantae; Streptophyta; Magnoliopsida; Malvales; Malvaceae. The record is from RNAcentral.
GACUAUUCUCGUCAGUGCAAAACGCAAAUAGUCAUUGGCUUCAUUGUAUCCUCGAGGUUAAUUUGCUUGGAACUCGUUUGCACACUGAAGAUAAGUGGGGGCGAAUAUAACCUUAAAGAUAGUGGCUUGAUACACGCCUUGGAGCCUGUCCUAUUUCUUCUUUUUCUUUUCGAGUUUCGAUCGUGUGUUCGAGUUUUUUCCUUACCGGAGUUUUGUACUAACAAUUUUAAGGUUAUAUUUCAUGAUGACUACCACAACACAUGAAAGUGGAACACUAAGGGAGUUGGCUUCCAACUUUGUUAAACUUGAUCGUUUUGAUGGUGGCAAUUUUCGACGAUGGCAGAAAAAGAUGCACUUUUUGUUAUCAACUUUGAAGAUUGCUUAUGUUUUGGAUACUCCAAGACCUGAAGAGAAUGAAAAUGAAUCAGUUGCUGCAACCCGAGAAAGACAAAAAUGGGACAAUGCUGAUUACAUGUGCAUGGGCCACAUAUUGAAUGGUUUAUCUGAUGGUUUGUUCGACACCUACCAAAACGACGUCACCGCUAAAGAAUUAUGGGACAAAUUGGAGGCAAGAUACAUGACCGAAGAUGUUACAAGUAAGAAAUUUCUUGUCACUCGUUUCAAUAAUUAUCAAAUGGUUGAUGGUCGUUCUGUUAUGGAACAAUUUCGUGAUAUUGAAAAGAUGCUGAAUCAAUUUAAGCAAUAUGAUAUGAAAAUGGAUGAAAUGAUUGUGGUAUCCUCCAUAAUAGACAAACUUCCUCCAUCUUGGAAAGACUUUAAAAGAAGUCUAAAACAUAAGAAAGAGGAAAUAUCUCUUGAGGCUUUGGCAAAUCAUCUUCGUAUUGAAGAAGAGUAUCGAAAACAAGAUCAGAACCUAAAUUCUGAAAAUGCCAAAGUACAUGUUACAGAGGAAGUACAGACUACUAAACCAUUCAAGAGAAAGUUCAAUCAGACUGAUAGAGCACCUAAGUUCAAAAAGAAAUAAAAGGGCUCAUGCUAUCAUUGUGGAAAGCCGGGACAUUUCAAGAAUGAAUGUCGAUUUUUAAAGAAGAAAUCAUCUUCUAAGGCUGAUAAUAACAAAAAGUUCGUUGCAAUGAUAUCUGAAAUUAAUAUGGCACAAGAUGAUAAUACAUGGUGGAUUGAUACCGGAGCAACCAAACAUGUGUGCAAAGACAAAAGCAUGUUCACAAAGUUCACACAAUGUGAAAAUGACAAUGUCUUAUACAUGGGAAAUUCUUCCACCGCAACAAUUAAAGGCAAAGGGUCUGUUGAACUACAAUUCACUUCUGGAAAGGUUUUAACCUUAAAUGAUGUAUAUUAUGUACCAGAAGUUAGGAAAAAUUUAGUGUCUGGAAGUCUGUUGAAUAAGUUUGGUUUCAAACUUGUUUUUGAGGCAGAUAAGUUUAUUUUGUCUAAGGGAGGAAUUUUUGUGGGAAAAGGGUAUAUGUAUGAAAGCAUGUUCAAACUUAAUAUUAUUAAUAAGAAUAAAAAUACUAUUUCUGCUUAUAUGGUUGAAUCAUUUUGUUUGUGGCAUUAUAGAUUAGGUCAUUUGAAUUAUAGAAAAUUGAAUGACAUGUAUAAAUUAGAUUUAAUUCCUGUUUUUAAUAAUAAUAUUGAAAAAUGCAAUACCUGUAUGUUGACUAAAAUUACAAGAAAUCCUUUCCCUAAGGUUAAAAGGAAAACAAAAUUGCUUGAUUUGAUACAUAGUGAUUUAUGUGACUUGCAUAAUACUCCUACAUUAGGUGGAAAGAAAUAUUUUGUUACUUUUAUUGAUGAUUGUUCUAGAUAUUGUUAUGUAUAUUUAUUGCAUUCAAAAGAUUAAGCGCUUGAUAAAUUUAAAGUUUAUAAAUCUGAAGUUGAACUUCAGUGUGAAUCAUUUAUCAAGUGCUUAAGAUCGGAUAGAGGUGGAGAAUACUAUAAUCCAAGUUAUUUUGAACUCACUGGAAUUGUCCAUCAAGUUUCAGCCCCUUACACACCACAACAAAAUGGUGUAGCUGAAAGGAAAAAUAGAGUCUUGAUUGAAAUGGUAAAUUCAAUGUUAUCAUAUUCAGGUCUUGGAUAGGGUUUUUGGGGAGAAGCUGUUCUAACAGCUUGUCAUAUAUUGAAUAGAGUUCCUAAUAAGGAAACUAAAAUAACCCCCUAUGAACAAUGGAAGAAAAGGAAACCAAACCUUAAUUAUUUAAAGGUUUGGGGUUGUAGAGCUAUUGUAAAAGUUCCAACACCUAAACGUAAAAAGUUAGGUGAAAGAGGAAUUGAAUGCAUAUUUAUAGGUUAUGCACAUAAUAGCAAGGCAUAUAGGUUCAUAGUAAUUGAACCAAAUGAUUCAAUUUCAAUUAAUACGGUUAUUGAAUCAAGAGAUGCUAUUUUUGAUGAAAAUAGAUUUAAUUCUAUAUCAAGACAAUUACAACUACAACAAUUGAUUCAUUCUUCAAAUGAGAAUGAGAUUCCAUUGAAACAAAUUGAUAAUACUGAUGAAUCUUGUCAAGAAUUAAGAAGAAGUAAGAGGAUUAAAAAGGUCAAAGAUUUUGGACCAGAUUUCAUUAUGUUUCUUGUAUAAGGAAAAGGUGAAAGUAUAUGCAAUAAGAUACCUUAUUAUUAUAAUACCGAAUCUGAUCCUAUUACAUUUGAAGAAGCAGUGAAAUCUCAAGACUCUGCUUUUUGGAAAGAAGCAAUAAAUGAUGAAAUGGAUUCAAUAAUGGGAAAUCAAACUUGGAUCUUAGUUGAUCUUCCACCAGGUUCCAAACCAAUAGGUUGUAAAUGGAUCUUCAAAAAGAAAAUGAAGGUCGAUGGAACCAUUGAUAAAUUUAAAGCAAGGUUGGUAGCAAAAGGUUUUACACAAAGACAAGGUAUUGAUUACUUUGAUACCUAUGCUCCAGUAGCAAGAAUUGCUACAAUUAGACUAUUAAUAUCACUUACCUCUAUAUAUAAUUUGGUUGUUCACCAAAUGGAUGUUAAAACUGCAUUUUUAAAUGGUGAAUUGGAAGAGGAAGUGUACAUGGAGCAACCGGAAGGAUUUGUUGUUCCAGGACAAGAGCAUAAGGUAUGUAAGCUUGUUAAAUCUUUAUAUGGGCUUAAACAAGCACCAAAACAAUGGCACCAAAAGUUUGACAAGGUUGUUUUAGCUAAUGGCUAUAAAAUAAAUGAAUCCGAUAAGUGCAUAUAUAGUAAAUUUGAUAAUGGAAAGGGUGUUAUAAUUUGCUUAUAUGUAGAUGACAUGCUCAUUUUUGGCACGGAUUUGGAACAAAUAGAAAACACAAAGAAAUUCUUGUCAAACAACUUUGCUAUGAAGGAUAUGGGUGUAGCAGAUGUUAUUCUUGAGAUUAAAAUAACCCGAGAUGAAAGCACUAUAGCUUUAUCACAAUCACAUUACAUUGAAAAUGUGCUUAAAAAGUUUGAUCUUUUCAACUGUAUACCAGCAUCUACACCCAUGGAUCCUCAAUUAAAAUUAGUAUCUAAUGCUGGUAGGAAAAUUGAUCAAUUGAAAUAUGCAAGUCUAAUUGGUUGUCUUAUGUACAUAAUGACUUGUACAAGACCAGAUAUUGCAUAUGCUAUUGGAAAAUUGAGUAGAUACACAAGUAAUCCAAGUAGUUUGCAUUGGCAAGCUUUAAAUAGAGUACUUAGGUACUUAAAGAAAACUAUUAACUAUGGAUUGUGUUAUAAUGGAUAUCCUCCAGCUUUAGAAGGGUAUUCGGAUGCUAGUUGGAUUACAAGUUUGGAAGAUCAUGCAUCUACUAGUGGGUGGAUCUUCAUUCUUGGUGGAGGAGUCAUUUCUUGGGGUUCCAAGAAACAAACAUGUAUUACUGAUUCCACCAUGGCAGCAGAAUUUAUUGCAUUAGCUGCUGCAUCUAAAGAAGCAGAAUGGUUAAAAAAUUUACUUUAUGAUGUACCUUUAUGGCUUAAGCCAAUUUCACCUAUUUCUAUCCGUUGUGAUAGUGAGGCUACUCUAACAAAGGCAUAUAGCCAAGUAUAUAAUGGAAAGUCUAGACACAUUGGAUUAAGAAAUAGUUAUGUCCGACAAUUAAUCUCUGAUGGAGUGAUCACUAUUAAUUAUGUGAGGUCAAGUGAAAAUUUGGCAGAUCCUUUGACAAAAAGUCUUGCUAGAGAUGCAGUAAAAAGGACCUCAAAAGGGAUGGGACUCAAGCCUAUUAAUUAGAGUCACCCAUGAUGGAAACUCGACUCAACGCUUGGUAUAACGUCAAGUCUUGAGUUCAAUGAGACAAAGUACAUCAUUAGUAUGUGACUGUUAGCACUAUAAAUAAAUCCAUCCUAAGAUUAAAGUGCUAGGUACCCGUAAUGAUAAGGGAAGGAUGAGUAAUGUACUCUUAAUGGACCCAUAACAUAAAUAUGUUAGAGUGUUAUAAUUACGGGAACACUUUUGAUGGGAUCUACCUAUGUGAGUGGAAGUGUGGCCGCUUCUAGGAGCUUAAGGGCUUGGCUCUGACAGCACUCAUGAAAAGAGGACAUAGACACAUGGCUAUAAUAGUGUCCCUAGAUACUAUGCAUUGACUGAUGUUGAAAUCAUUGUGUGAGAUGUGUUCAGUUAAUCAAAUGGAAUAGUUGGUUCAAAGCUUAGUCUACCAUACAAUUUCGAUUAACUUUAACAUGUUUUCACUAAGUGAAGGUUCAAUCGUAAGACACCUUUAUUUAUGCAAAUUGAUUUCCAAGAAUAUCAAAAUCUAAAUAUUUUGAAAAUGGGGGGAGAUUGUUGGAAUAUUUCAAAUAUUUAUAGUAUCCCAAUAACUAUAAAUGAAUGGGUGUAAUUAAUCAAAAGAUAAAACUUUUGGUCAUUGGUCAAAAGUUAUAUCAUUUGAUUUUUUAAAAAAGAAUUAUAACUAUUCAAAAAAUAUUAUUUGAAUAGUUACAAAAUUAAAUGAAUAAUUAUUAUUAUUUAUUUAUUCAUAAAGACACCUAUUGAAAUAUGUCUCUAUGAAGAGACAUGAAAAUUCCUAUAAAUAGGAAUGGGAUUUCAUUUGGAAAUUAUAUCAACAAAUUCUAAUAUUAUUUCUUCUCUUCCUUCAUUUUCUAAUAUUAUUAGAUUAUUCUAUAAAGUAUUGCUGCAGAAAUCCUUUGUAGAAAUUGAGUUUUUGUUAUACAUUACUCAGUGCAUAGUGGACUAUUCUUGUCAGUGCAAAACGCAAAUAGUCAUUGGCUUCAUUGUAUCCUCGAGGUUAAUUUGCUUGGAACUCGUUUACACACUGAAGAUAAGUGGGGGCGAAUAUAACCUUAAAGAUAGUGGCUUGAUACACGCCUUGGAGCCUGUCCUAUUUCUUCUUUUUCUUUUCGAGUUCCGAUCGUGUGUUCGAGUUUUUUCCUUAUCGGAGUUUUG